UGUCUCCUACGGGGCGCAGCAGAAGGGAAUAUUGCUCAAGGGGGGAAACCCUGAUGCAGCGACGCCGCGUGGGCGAAGAAGUAUUUCGGUAUGUAAAGCCCUAUCAGCAGGGAAGAAGAAAUGACGGUACCUGAGUAAGAAGCACCGGCUAAAUACGUGCCAGCAGCCGCGGUAAUACGUAUGGUGCAAGCGUUAUCCGGAUUUACUGGGUGUAAAGGGAGCGCAGGCGGCACGGCAAGCCUGAUGUGAAAGCCCGCGGCCCAACCGCGGGACUGCAUUGGGAACUACCGGGCUGGAGUGC
This 301-nucleotide ribosomal RNA is filed under the name uncultured bacterium. RNAcentral's name for it is "bacterial SSU rRNA". It matches the Rfam family "Bacterial small subunit ribosomal RNA", at positions 333 to 649 of the family's 1533-position model. The record is from RNAcentral.